This 384-nucleotide long non-coding RNA is filed under the name Homo sapiens (human). Its description in RNAcentral is "HSALNT0345200". Lineage: Eukaryota; Metazoa; Chordata; Mammalia; Primates; Hominidae. The record is from RNAcentral.
GCUGGCCAGGGGCUGUGGCCGGAAGAGCCUGAGUCUGGGGCCCACAGCAGGCCAGGCACAACUCUGCCACUCCCCAGGGAAGGAGAUGACUUUUAUCAUCAGUACAUGUCACAAGAAAACAUUUAAAAUGACACUGAAACAAUCAUUGAAAUCAUGGUGCAUGGAGGAAAAAGCCACUUCUCGACAUGGUCUGCACAUACAGUAGAUACAUUCAUUAUUGUCCAAGGGAAGACAGUAACUGCCUUUCAUUUUAAAGAGCUUGGUGGAGAGGCUGAAGAAAUGUGCUGCAGCUGAAGCUACCUUUCCCCCAAGCACAGGAGGCCUCAGCUCCUGAAGCUCUGAAUUUACAGUACACAGUAGCAGACGGCUUGCCCUUUGGAAGGC